CUGGGGCUGCGGUGGCAGAAAGCACCUGUCUGUGAAGCGGAGCAGGAGGAAGAAGCUGCUGCGCAGCCUGAGCCUUCUGCUGCUUUAAGCGCGGCAGUGGGGACGUGGACAGCAGGAUUCAUCAUCCCCAGGAACAACCGUUCUGCUCAUCCCCACCACCCCUCCACCAGCACUGGAGGGCCACAGAGCCAGGUUAAGUUAUAUGUUGGGUUCAUCUGUAUGGAGCUGGGCAGCUGGAUCACAGCUGUGAUCCUCUGUAUCUGGAGGAAUGGUUAAAAUAGUCCCCCGAAGUAUUCCUUCUUUCCUUCACUCUCCUGCCAUAAGGCAGGACAAACACCUUUACACACUGCUGAUGACAGUUUUUCUUGUUGAUGAACAUUUUCCUACUCCAAGGCAUCUUUGGGGUAAUGGCUUCGUUCCUUCGGUGUGUCUGUAUAGUUCCCAGCGCAGCUCUUGUGCCACGUUAAUUAUCUUCCACAUGGAACUUGUUUUGUGCCAGCAGAAAUGUACUCAGGGUAGUAUAAGAAGUGAAAUAAAAAUGGCUCCUUUCCCCAAAAGAGCUCUCUGGUUAUACAA
Molecule: long non-coding RNA, 576 nt
Organism: Aquila chrysaetos chrysaetos
Lineage: Eukaryota; Metazoa; Chordata; Aves; Accipitriformes; Accipitridae
Exons: 2
Source: RefSeq, a predicted model, not a curated record